GGUGAACGCUGGCGGCGUGCCUAAUACAUGCAAGUCGAGCGAACAGACAAUGAGCUUGCGCCCCUGACGUUAGCGGCGGACGGGUGAGUAACACGUGGAUAACCUACCUAUAUGACUGGGAUAACUUCGGGAAACCGGAGCUAAUACCGGAUAAUAUAUUGAACCGCAUGGUGCAAUAGUGAAACACGGUUUUGCUGUCACUAUUAGAUGGUUCCGCGCCGCAUUAGCUAGUUGGUAAGGUAACGGCUUACCAAGGCAACGAUGCGUAGCCGACCUGAGAGGGUGAUCGGCCACACUGGAACUGAGACACGGUCCAGACUCCUACGGGAGGCAGCAGUAGGGAAUCUUCCACAAUGGGCGCAAGCCUGACGCAGCCACGCCGCGUGGGUGAUGAAGGUCUUCGGGUUGUAAAGCUCUGUUAUUGGGAAAGAACAACUGCAUAUGUAACUCUGGAUGUCUUGACGGUACCCAAUCAGAAAGCCCCGGCUAACUACGUG
Molecule: ribosomal RNA, 497 nt
Filed under: uncultured bacterium
Lineage: Bacteria
Description: partial 16S ribosomal RNA
Rfam family: Bacterial small subunit ribosomal RNA
Source: RNAcentral